UUCCCUGUGGCUCAGUUGGUAGAGCAUGGUGUGUGCAACACCAGGGUUGUGGGUUUGAUUCCCACGGGGGGGG
RNAcentral lists this transfer RNA (73 nucleotides) under Salmo salar (Atlantic salmon). It matches the Rfam family "tRNA". From Rfam's summary of the family: Transfer RNA (tRNA) molecules are approximately 80 nucleotides in length. Their secondary structure includes four short double-helical elements and three loops (D, anti-codon, and T loops). Further hydrogen bonds mediate the characteristic L-shaped molecular structure. tRNAs have two regions of fundamental functional importance: the anti-codon, which is responsible for specific mRNA codon recognition, and the 3' end, to which the tRNAs corresponding amino acid is attached (by aminoacyl-tRNA synthetases). tRNAs cope with the degeneracy of the genetic code in two manners: having more than one tRNA (with a specific anti-codon) for a particular amino acid; and 'wobble' base-pairing, i.e. permitting non-standard base-pairing at the 3rd anti-codon position. The record is from Rfam by way of RNAcentral. Lineage: Eukaryota; Metazoa; Chordata; Actinopteri; Salmoniformes; Salmonidae.